This 192-nucleotide ribosomal RNA is filed under the name uncultured bacterium. Its description in RNAcentral is "partial 16S ribosomal RNA". It matches the Rfam family "Bacterial small subunit ribosomal RNA", at positions 1309 to 1500 of the family's 1533-position model. The record is from RNAcentral.
AACCCGCCUGCAUGAAGUUGGAAUUGCUAGUAAUCGCGGAUCAGCAUGCCGCGGUGAAUACGUUCCCGGGCCUUGUACACACCGCCCGUCACACCAUGAGAGUCGGGAACACCCGAAGUCCGUAGUCUAACCGCAAGGAGGGCGCGGCCGAAGGUGGGUUCGAUAAUUGGGGUGAAGUCGUAACAAGGUAGC